This 70-nucleotide transfer RNA is filed under the name Prodotiscus insignis. RNAcentral's name for it is "tRNA-Lys". The record is from RNAcentral. Lineage: Eukaryota; Metazoa; Chordata; Aves; Piciformes; Indicatoridae.
CAUUAAGAAGCUAUGCAACAGCACUAGCCUUUUAAGCUAGAGAAAGUGAAAUUUUACUUCACCUUAAUGA